Molecule: ribosomal RNA, 462 nt
Filed under: Pseudomonas aeruginosa
Lineage: Bacteria; Pseudomonadati; Pseudomonadota; Gammaproteobacteria; Pseudomonadales; Pseudomonadaceae
Description: bacterial SSU rRNA
Rfam family: Bacterial small subunit ribosomal RNA
Source: RNAcentral
CGAGCGGAUGAAGGGAGCUUGCUCCUGGAUUCAGCGCGGACGGGUGAGUAAUGCCUAGGAAUCUGCCUGGUAGUGGGGGAUAACGUCCGGAAACGGGCGCUAAUACCGCAUACGUCCUGAGGGAGAAAGUGGGGGAUCUUCGGACCUCACGCUAUCAGAUGAGCCUAGGUCGGAUUAGCUAGUUGGUGGGGUAAAGGCCUACCAAGGCGACGAUCCGUAACUGGUCUGAGAGGAUGAUCAGUCACACUGGAACUGAGACACGGUCCAGACUCCUACGGGAGGCAGCAGUGGGGAAUAUUGGACAAUGGGCGAAAGCCUGAUCCAGCCAUGCCGCGUGUGUGAAGAAGGUCUUCGGAUUGUAAAGCACUUUAAGUUGGGAGGAAGGGCAGUAAGUUAAUACCUUGCUGUUUUGACGUUACCAACAGAAUAAGCACCGGCUAACUUCGUGCCAGCAGCCGCGGU